CCAUGUCUUCACAUGAGACUAACUACCUUGUUUUUGACACUCAGGUGGAAAAUGCAACUGCGCAGGAGGAUCCUGCUCCUGCUCCAACUGCUCCUGCACCAGCUGCAAGAAGAGCUGCUGCCCCUGUUGCCCCACAGGCUGUCCUAAAUGUGCCACCGGCUGCGUGUGCAAAGGGAAGACUUGUGACACUGCCUGCUGCCAGUGAUGACCCCGAUUCUCCUCCCGAGAACCUUAACACUUAUUUUCCACGAUGUAGGCACAGAAUGAUUUUUGUACUGUCUUUGGUCCUGAAAUAAACAUGUGAUUUAUGAACUAA
This is a long non-coding RNA of Cololabis saira (Pacific saury), 316 nucleotides long. RefSeq lists it as uncharacterized. The transcript has 2 exons. The record is from RefSeq and is a predicted model, not a curated record. NCBI's taxonomy places the organism in Eukaryota, Metazoa, Chordata, Actinopteri, Beloniformes, Belonidae.